UACGGAGGGUGCAAGCGUUAUCCGGAUUUACUGGGUUUAAAGGGUGCGUAGGUGGGUCUGUAAGUCAGUGGUGAAAUCUCCGAGCUUAACUCGGAAACUGCCAUUGAUACUAUAGGUCUUGAAUUAUCUGGAGGUGAGCGGAAUAUGUCAUGUAGCGGUGAAAUGCUUAGAUAUGACAUAGAACACCAAUUGCGAAGGCAGCUCACUACUCAAUCAUUGACGCUGAGGCACGAAAGCGUGGGGAUCAAACAGG
RNAcentral lists this ribosomal RNA (253 nucleotides) under uncultured bacterium. RNAcentral's name for it is "partial 16S ribosomal RNA". It matches the Rfam family "Bacterial small subunit ribosomal RNA", at positions 524 to 776 of the family's 1533-position model. The record is from RNAcentral.